GGGACUGAUUUAUCUCUCCUUCUCCUUUUGCUUAGGAAGAGAUAUUUUAAAGAGUUGGAAGGUAGAUUCACUAUUAUCUCCUCUCCUCUGCUACUUCAAUUAUCAUUCAGCAAGCAAGAACUAUGACAAGACAAAGGGUACGUUUCGUGGGCAACAGCAUAGGUUCCAAAGUCACUGAUAAGGCUUAUGUUGUCAAAGAUUGGGUGAGUAACAUCAGCUUAAGGUACAAUGGAGACCGCAUCGUUGGCUUAGACUGCAAAUGGAAGGCAAACACAUGUAAAGAAAUGAACAACAAACCUGCUACCUUGCAGCUUUGUGUCAAUAACAAGUGUAUCAUACUCCAACUUUUCUACAUGGAGAACAUUCCCGAGUCCUUGAAGGAUUUCCUUAAUGAUCCUACUUUCACCUUAUUAACACAUAUAGAAUCGACCCCCUAUUGGAAACACAAUAUCUCAUGGAUCUCCUAUCUUUAGGAACCUAAAUCAUAUAUUCUCUGUGUCCCUUAUCCUUGGAAUGGAUCUCUUGUAAUCCAAUAUUCCAUAUAUGUAUAGUUGGCUAGGGUUACACAGUCACUGUGUAUAUAUAUUUAUAUUCUCAGAAUCAAUACAAUAUACUGAAAAUCAUAACAUUCCAA
This is a long non-coding RNA of Macadamia integrifolia, 634 nucleotides long. RefSeq lists it as uncharacterized. The transcript has 2 exons. NCBI's taxonomy places the organism in Eukaryota, Viridiplantae, Streptophyta, Magnoliopsida, Proteales, Proteaceae. The record is from RefSeq and is a predicted model, not a curated record.